UACGGAGGGUGCAAGCGUUAUCCGGAUUUACUGGGUUUAAAGGGUGCGUAGGUGGGUUGGUAAGUCAGUGGUGAAAUCUUCGAGCUUAACUCGGAAACUGCCAUUGAUACUAUUAAUCUUGAAUUAUCUGGAGGUAAGCGGAAUAUGUCAUGUAGCGGUGAAAUGCUUAGAUAUGACAUAGAACGCCCAUUGCGAAGGCAGCUUACUACGGAUACAUUGACACUGAGGCACGAAAGCGUGGGGAUCAAACAGG
This 253-nucleotide ribosomal RNA is filed under the name uncultured bacterium. RNAcentral describes it as "partial 16S ribosomal RNA". It matches the Rfam family "Bacterial small subunit ribosomal RNA", at positions 524 to 776 of the family's 1533-position model. The record is from RNAcentral.